Molecule: long non-coding RNA, 1184 nt
Organism: Cyprinus carpio (common carp)
Lineage: Eukaryota; Metazoa; Chordata; Actinopteri; Cypriniformes; Cyprinidae
Source: Ensembl
AAGGAAUCUGCUUGUGUUACACAGGAUUACAGGUUCAUAACAUUUCUAUUUAUUUAUUUUUUUCACUAAUUCAUUUACCAUCAUUUACUAUUUAAUUAUCAUUUACUCUCUCUCUCUCUCCCUCUCUCGCUCUCUCUCUCUCUCUCUAUAUAUAUACACACACACACACACACACACACACAUAUAUAAUUGUGAUAUGAAUUCUAUUGCUUGUUAUACAAAUUAUUUGAAGCAUUAUGAACUGUUACUAAAGUUCAAUCUAAUGCCUGUGUAAAAUAUCAUAUAAAUGUGGGGCCAUGACCGGACUCUCUUUUCAGCAGGAGGUGGGACAGAGAGACCAGAUGUCCCUGUGUGUGCAGGGCUGCCAAGUGAGGCUAGGGCAGUGAAGCCCGAGACACAAGAGCCCAAAUGGUGUGACAAAGGAGGAGCAGGAAGCCUGGCUCUGCCUGGAUGAACCUCAGAGAGCGCCAGUCCACAUCCACAUCCCAGCCCCAACCCUCGGCCCACGUCCCACAACCCCAUUGAACUACUAGAGCAGGGCCGUGGACCAUGUGCUGACUUUUUUGCUGGACCACACAACCAUACACAUGAUCACAGGAGUGUAAACGCUGAUAUAUGAAUACUAGAGGAUAAGUGUGCAGAGAUUAAGCAGAAAGCUCACACACAUGCACAGGCCCUUUUCUCCACUAUGCUGGAGUUCCAAAGGUUGGAGAAGCUGGUUUUUGGAGGUCUCAGAGGAAGGGUUUACACUGAGCAGGUCUCUCGACUACAUACAGAGUUUCUCCAGCUCUGCAAAACCAUAAGGGAUCAAGAAUACAAUCCAUCUGACCUGACUGCUCAGAUUUUUCAGGAUUGGAAUCAGUUUUCAAAGUAAGCAGUUCUGGUGAGACCGAUUUAGUUAAAAUGAAAAGGAAAAAGCAUAAAAUAGCUUAAGCUAUAUAACCUUAUAACCUAUAUGAUCUUUCAAUCGGUAUGUGUUUUAAGCUGGUCGCUGUGCUCAAAGCCCUCUUGGAAAGAGACAUCAUAAAGGAAACAUUUACUCCCAAUUUCUCCAAAUUGAUUAAGCUUUUUGGAGAUGAGCUGGACAAAGGCAAACAACUGCUUGAUUCUCAUCUUGAGCAGGUAAAGUAGUUGUUUUUGAACAGAAUUUUGUUCUUGUUCAAAAAGGACGUUGUGUAAUUCAU